CGGACGGGGGAGUAAUGUCUGGGAAACUGCCCGAUGGAGGGGGAUAACUACUGGAAACGGUAGCUAAUACCGCAUAACGUCGCAAGACCAAAGAGGGGGACCUUCGGGCCUCUUGCCAUCGGAUGUGCCCAGAUGGGAUUAGCUAGUAGGUGGGGUAACGGCUCACCUAGGCGACGAUCCCUAGCUGGUCUGAGAGGAUGAUCAGCCACACUGGGACUGAGACACGGCCCAG
RNAcentral lists this ribosomal RNA (232 nucleotides) under uncultured bacterium. Its description in RNAcentral is "partial 16S ribosomal RNA". It matches the Rfam family "Bacterial small subunit ribosomal RNA", at positions 99 to 334 of the family's 1533-position model. The record is from RNAcentral.